AGGCAGCUGUGUGGAUCAUCAACAUUCCUAAAGGAUCUGAGGUGCUGCUCUGGGAUGGUGUCCAGUAAACAUCCAGCAGUCAAACAACCCCAGCAAUGCAGCUAAUGCCAAAUUCUGGAUUCCACGAGCAUAGAUUUGUAACAAACACUGAGCUUCUAAUUUGCAGCAGCUUUCCAUGUAUCAAAACUACCAUGGGCUUGCAUCAUCCUCAAACUUUUGUUUUCCCACAGCUUGUUAGUGUAAAGAAGACCACCUUGAGGAUAAUACUUGAAUCUUUUAAGGACACCCUGAAAAUAUUUGGCCAAAAUUGUAGGAUUAAUACUACUGUCAGGAAAAUGCUUUCAAUUCAGAUAUUUCAAUCAAAUCUUUUGAAUGGAGCCUCAGCCUCUGUGAUGAAGCACCCAGCCAAGCCACUGGCCAGAGGAGAAGAAAGGCUAGUCAAAGAGAAACCAUAAUGUUCUAGUAACCUAAAAUUUGCAUAUUUGACCUCCAACCAUACCUGUUCGUCCUAGACUCACUUGUUUUGACAUUACUGUAUGUACAGAUAGUGAAAGUGAAAACAGCUAGACCUGACUGGCAGUGAUUGUUGGUUCUGUUGGACAACAAAUAAAAUAUUGAUUAAGCUCUAUGACAGAAGCAAAACUAAAAUUAAUCUAAACCUUCCUAAUGUUUACAGCCCCUGUAUAGUUUGGAUUUGUUUUCACAAUUUAAACAGGUCCCUUAAAGAAUAAAAUAAAAAAAUAAGAUAAAAUAAAAUAAAAUAAAAUAAAAUAAAAUAAAAUAAAAUAUAGUGGUAGCACAUUUCUAGAAUGUACUUUCCUGAUUUUCAUUUUUUCUCAGUUAUCAAAUUAGAAAUAAUAUAGUUGCUCUAUCUCUUAGUCUGUGGAAUUUCAGAAAUGAAGCUGAUUCAGUUGAGGGAUUCUGUUAUGUCAGAAGAGACAAUGGCAAUACAACAGUAUCUCUUCUUGGGCUGUAAUAUGAUUCUUGGGUUUGACCUGUAGCUCACCAAAGAUAAAUGGAGAAUACUUACUGAGUUUGUUCAGAUCUGAACAGGGAUCUGAAUUAAACUUAAUCCACAGAGAACAACAUUGUUUUUUUAUCCACAGAACUUAAAAUUCUUCUAGCAGCUUUGCCCACUGAGUCAAAGUCACUUUUUGUUUAGCAGCUUUUAGAUGCAUAGCCUGAAUAAGAAUAUAAUUUAUUUUAUCAUCACUGUUUUGAUUGCUUUGAUUAUGGUGCUUCUUAAUAUUAAUGUAGAGAGUGUAGUUACAAACUUUCUCACAAUAUUUCACAAAAAUUUAGCAUAUAUUUCAUGUGUUAGAGACAACUAGGCUGAAUGUAUAUUUUUCCUACUGGAGUAACUUCUGAGUAUUUUGUGAGAAGAGAUACAACACUGAAGUUAGAAUCUCUGAAAUAUCAUGACAAAAAAAACCCCAAGCUUCUCAUCACAAAGAAGUUCAGCCUUAUAUUUUUGAUGCACGUCUAAAUUCUGUAAUGAUUUCAGUCUACAGAAUUGAUAAUGCCCAGAAGACUGUAUCAGUACCUUAUGACUUUCAGUGCAUCCAAUGUUUUGCUUAAAUAUGUCUGCCUCAGUUGAUAUACUGCCUAAAGGCCAAUAGAAUAGUUUUACAUUUUGAACAGGUUCUAAAAUUUAAAUCAGGAAAAGACCUUUGCUGCAUUUUCUAUCAACUUGAGAAAAAGUCUACACAAGAAAUGAUAUAACCUAGAUUCACACUUGCAAAAGGAUUAAUAGUAAUACUUUGUAUUCAAGGGGACAAGAGAGAUUGGUGUUAUAUAAUAUUUCAAAGCUGCUGAACAAAGCAACUUGAUAAUGGAGGUAAUCUGAAGUGAAAUAUCCAAGUUUUAAAGAAACUCUGAUUGAGUGAUGCUGUUAAAGUCACCAGGAAUGCUGCAUCUCUGGAGAUAGCCUUAGCAAGGAACUAGGCCAACGAACUGAAGCUCUUGGCUUCAUCUUUAAUAGAUAAGAAGCUCAUUUUGCAAAAAUCAAUGUAGCACAGUUAAAUUGAGGCUCUGGUAAUUAUAGUAGCUGAAGUUCCUCUGUUAGAUCUCUUCCAUACUUCAUCCAAUUUAACUGCUUAUGCUGCCCUGCUAUGCUGCCACUCUACCUUUUUCUUCCCAGCCUCCAAAAUAACACCAGAGUUGACUGGGUAAACAUGGCAUACAAGAAAAACCAACUGGUCAGCAGUCAGGCAGUAAGCAGCAUUAUGGCAGUAUUUCAACUCUAGAACAACAAAAGCAACGGUGUACAGAGAAACUAUGGAGAGCAGCCUCAGAGCACAGCAGGGUUACUGCAUCUCUGCAAGAGAGAAGCAGCAGAGCAUGGAAGUCUAUAGGGCAAAAGGUCAAACAGUUUUUGGCAGCAGAUGUAGCUUAUGGUCUGGGUUAUUAAGUAUAGUGCGGUGAAGAAGCAAUAAUGAAGUUUUGGAACCCACAAAUACUAUUAAAAACUCUGCAGGUCCUUAAAAAAGAUAGACUGGGUGUCAUAAUGCUUACUGAGCUCAGAAGAGCAUAAAGCAAAGAAUGUGGCAGAAUUACAAGGAAAGAUUGCUGCAAAAGCCAAAGACUGAAAAUCAAAGAUAGAAAAUAUGUGAGAAAAUCCCCAGAGAUGAAAUGGGCUUGCCGCAGUUGCUGCCUUUUCCAAUAAAAAAGAAUAAAACCAUUUUUCAGUUGAUUUCCAUGUGACAAGAUGACAAAGGAGCACUUGGAAUGACUAUGACAAAAGCAUGUAUAACGCAAAACCUUACUAAUUAAUAUAUUGAUUUUUUUAGAAAUAAAUUAUAGCCUUUCUGAUGUCUGAUAAAUGUAAAUCAGUAACCGGAAUUACUAGCUGCUUUACUCUUAUAGGCAUACAGUGCUCUGAUAGUCUUAACUAGAGGGAUUUGCAAACUUAUUACUUUUUAUCUCAUUUGGAAAAAUAUAAAUUGGGUGUUGAAACUGCAGUGAACCUUAUUAAAUACCUUCCCUAUCCCCACUGGUUGCCUUAAGUGCACAGUAGCUUUCUUGUUGCUGUAAGAGGGAUGAAAGAUUUAGAAGCUCAUAUCUCCCUGAAAGGCAGCACACACAUGCAGAUCUGAAGAGAGUGCUUUCUCAUUUGUAACAAUGCCAAAAUUUUAUUGUGAUGCCUUGGAAGCAUCUCUGAGUAUUGAUUCUGAAAAACAAUGGCACAGGUUCAGCCCUGGUGAAAGCAGUGGAGUCAGCUUAUCCAGCUUGCUUUUGAGGACUUAGCCAUCUAUCAAGUGAACAUAGCAGUUUUUGCAUAUCCGAAUGAAUCAUUCCUGUACAGAAAACUGUACAGGACUCUACAGGAAUGCUUAGCCUACUCUCGGUGCUACUAAACUAAUCUACACUUCACAAUUAACACUUUUUUCUCUUGCUCUCAAAAGCAAUGUUCAGUGACUUUUCGCUUUGAGAUUCAGCUACUGUGAUUUCAACUUCGAACAGCUGAUCCGUGUUGUGAGAGAGGCUGCCAGCCUUUCCAUUAGUAGUCACGGGGACCGUCACGUGCUCCUUCCAUUGUGCCUGUAGAUCUUUUCCCUUCUCUGGCUCACGCUGCAUAACCUCUUUUCUCUCCGACGUCACAAGCGCUGCAAUCCUUUUCCUUUUCUGUUUCAUGCACAGCAAUAAUCUCCUGCUAACGCACCAGCUCUGACUAAGAGAAUAAGCCCUGUCACCUCCAAGCUCAAGCAGCUUCCUGAAUAAUAUCACAUGAUGGGAGAUUACAUGCUUAAAAUGUAUUUCAGUCUUAGAGUUUUCUUGCUGGUCUAAAGUAAUUCAAGCCCUUCCUUGCAGGCUGGGAUGCUGCCCAAAUCCCUCCCCAGGCCUGUAACCCUGUGGCCCCUUGUCUAGCAUGACCUGACUCCAUACCUGGCCUUCUAAUGAGUGUCCAGGUUGCUGGUGAGGCACACGCCUUCUGAUGUGCCUUUAGCUCCCAGGGAUGGCACUGCACUGUGUACCUCUGUUAAGAUGUUGCAACAAUAACACCGCUGUGGUGCAGCACUUAGACCCUUCCAAAUUGCCAAGUUCUAUGCAAAACAGGUUGCAUUUUGCAAUCCUGCUGUCUUAGUAUGUAGCUGAUUAUUAGCCUUCUUAUUUACUUCGUAAUGUUGUAGGUCGGUAUGUAUGUGUUUAUAUUUCUCCCACUGGGAUUUUCACUAAGUUUUCAAUAGAUAUGGUAAGUAUAAAUCUUUACACAACAUUUUGGGAAAUAAAGUGAGCAGGUUGAUAUAUCUGAAUAUCCUAAUUUAUACUAAGAAUUGGGUCCCUGAAUAGCUCUGUUACAUAAAGUCCAAGUUCAUGCGCAAGUACUGGGGUACAUAGGUGAUGUUUUAUAGAAAUUUAGUAUUGAAAAAGCUUUGGACAAGAGAUUUCUCCUCACCCUUUACCAUUUUUAAACUGUUCUUUUCCCUGGACUCUGAAGACUGGCAAAUAGGUACUUUAUGUUGCAGAAGUCUGUAGUAAGUCUCUAGUGCAUCAUGCAGUCAGAGAUACAUAAAAUACUACUUUCUUCUUCACAAAAUCUCAUGGGGAUUUUAUUGUUUGUUUGGUGUUGGUUUUUUAAUUGUUGGGGUUUGUUGUUGGGGGUGCUGUUGUUGUUGUUUUCCUCCACAACAAACUGAUGUAAAAAAGCCAAAGUUGUGCAGGAUGCCUGAGCUCAUUACGUGCUCUACUACACAACUUUAAGAGCAAUAUUUUGCUCUGUAAUAUGCUAGCUGUAAAGUGAGGGUACUAUUUCUUACCUUUUUUAGUAAGCCUGUUUGAGAUAAGUGUGAAGGGAUAAUUAUACAUGAUUACUAUGAUAACACUGUUCUUUUUAAUGUGUGGUUUCAUGCAAUACUUCCUAAAAAUCUUAUUGCUAUGCCAUUGAAGCAUCCAUUAGCCUUUUCAUGUUAAACUAUGAUUUUUCAUUUUUUUUACAAGACAGCAUGAUUUUUGUGAUGUAACUGCCUUUCUGGCUGGGCACUUUCAACCAAUGCUGAAGUGAAAGAGAGACAAUAGGUUUCUCUUUCAGCUUGCUUUUCUUGGCAGGCACAUGAAAUGGAUACAAUCUGGAAUUAUGUAGAAGAGUUUUAGGGUGGAAUUAAUUUUAUUUUUGUUUGGCUAUCUAAAAGUUUGCCAUCCAGUUGAGGUCAAUUUUGUAGCCAAAUAUUCUCUAGUGAGUACCUAAGUUGGCUGUCAGCCUUCCUCAUAGUCUCGUUAAUAUUUUUGAGUCUGCUGUGGAAACAUUUUGUCAUUCUAAAGUAAUGCGUAUUUUCACAUAUGAGAAGAAAUUAGUUUUCCUUCUAUUAUGGAGUUAUUAUUUUUUUAACCUGGGUGUACAAGUUUCUGUAUUUAAAAAGUGUAUUUGGAGGUAGUAAAAAUAAUUUAUCACAAGUAAUAAUGUAAGAGAGGUCAAGAGCAUAAAAGUCUUUCUUCUUGUGAUUUUAGUUUGUAGCUACCAAGAAUCUGUCUAGCCAAGAGACAAUUAUUCCUGCCCUAUUACAUAGCUAUAAAUAACUGAAAUUUCAGUGGCAUUUAUUCAGAGCUGGAGAGAUUACUAAGCACAGCUUGGUUUAGAUGUGUUUUCUGAGAUGUAAAGCUUUUAACCUGAGCUUUGCUUUGACGUUUGAGCCUAUCCUGGGUUAGAUGCAUAAUUCGUACUGGCAUCAGGUGAAAAAGGGAGGUCUGUUCUGUUUGUCACCCUCUCUAGACUAGAACAUGGCACAAUUCAGGACACCAGAGUUAAGUUGUAAAGAUAUGAGGUGGAAGCUGGAGUGUGGCUAAGUUUUAUUAUCCUGAGUGGGACUAUAUGUGAAAUGCCAUGGCUUAUUUAAGCUUGAGCGACUUCUUAGAAGCUUUAGUGAAACAUAGGUGGAACAUUCUUCCUUCAAGAUGCCAUGUGAGCUUGUGAUUGAAUUUUAUGGACUCUUAGGUGCAGAAGCUUGAUCGUCUACUCUGACAGAUGUAUGGAAAUUCCAUGAGUUCAACAUAAUUUCUUCCUCAUUUUAGAUGGCAACACUGUGACGUGGGAAAGGGCUGUACGGUUGAAUGAAUCAUAGCAUACAGGAGGUCAGUAACUGGGAUCUAUUUUUCCUGACUCUCCUGCUCCACAGAUAUGUUUUCCCUUACUCCACUGCCAUAAAAUCAUAAUGUGCCAUCUAGGCUUUGUUACUGUUACAAUGGCAUUGUGAAAGAAACCUAAUUAGAAAACGGAAAUCCCCUUUAGCCCUGUUAGGAAUUAAUAUGAAAGGUAGUGAGGCACAUCAUAACACCAACACCAUAAGUUUUUUUAAAAUACAUUUUAUUCCUGGAUUUAUUGAGAAAUGUUAUUAGUAGAUUUGGAGCAUCAAAUGAACAACUGUGUAAUGCAAGGAAUAAGAAGCUGAUGGCAAACAAUGGAUCAGAUACAGCUAAAGCAGAGUGUCAAUUGCAGCUUAGGUUUAAAAUUUGGAGAGGCAAGCUAUGAAAGGAAGAAAAGGUAAGAAAUAAUAGAUAACAUUUAGUAUUAAAUAUCAGUCAGUACUUAAGACCUUGAUUUGCUGAAAGACAUCCAGAAUGUUACUUGAAGUCUCAGUUUUAAAAUUAAAUUGAGUAUUUGAGGGCCUGAGGCCAUGGUCAGCCAAUGACUGCAAACACAACCGUGCAUGCUUAAGAUGCUACUGCCCACUGCAUGGCCACCCCACAAGCUGAGCCAGAAGACUAGAGGCACUUUGGAAGGGGUAUAACUUCUCCUAAAUUACUUCAGUAUGAAGUUAGUUGGAUUAGCUUAAACUGCUGUUCAAAGCAGUUUAAGCAUUAGAUAGUUGACAGCUAUUGUACUUAAAUUACCAUGACUGGUAAACAUUUUAAUGUUUGUUUAUAAGAUGGCUGAAAUAUGUCUUAAGCAAAUAAUUUAAUAAAAGCAGUAACAAUAAACAUCCUGGCAAGUAUACAGGGUGUACCAAAGACUUCAACAAUUCUCAGAAUUACUUUUGCACUGUAGUGCUUCAAUUUUAAGUCAGAAUUGGCAGGAACAGUAAACUAAUUAAUGCUGGAUUACAAUGGAAUUCCUAUAGAUGUGUAUAUGACAUCUACAUUAAUACCAAAUGAGGCCUUUGUGAUUAAUGUUACCAUGAUGAACACCAAAGGUAUUAAUAAAGAUUAGACAUGGUUAACCAAAAGAGGAUAGUUCAUUGCAAAAAGAUGAUGUUCAAUAUAAAAAUGAUCAAUGUCACCCCUUAAAAUUCAUGUUAGCAAAAUGAUAAGGAUCUGACUAAAACUGAGAAGCCCAGACUGUCCUCUUAGAAGUGCGGCAGCCUGAUCCUUUCUGGUGAGUCAGGCACACACAUCUGCUGUUUGAGGGGCACUCUGUGUAAUUUGACAGAUGUGUAUUCAGUGGGACCACAUUUGGAUCCACUCAAGCACCACCGACAGCAUGAUUAUGCGCAGAGAAGAAAGCCAAUAAGGUUUCCUUAAAACUCAUAUGACAGAAGAAAAAAGAACCCCAAACCCUGAUUCGAUAUCUGUGCAGAUGGCACGUGUGGGUGGUACAUGAGUAGGUUUUCCUUACUAGUUUCUUUGCGUGUUAUCAUCCUAUAGACUUUCUUCAACCUCAGUAGCCUUCUCACCUUUGCCUCUGAUUUUCUGCAAUUUAUUUAAAGGGUUAAAUUUAACUGAAGUAAUAGAUUAUCUGAGGAUUUCUUUGAAGCUAUAACUUACUAUAACCUAGUAAAAUUUGUAAGUGUGAAAAUGAAAUGUGUUUUUAAAAUAUGCUCACAUAUUUAAAUUGCUGACAAAUGUUAUUAGAUUUAGAUGGAGUCAUGUGGCAGAUAAUUGAUGAGUUCAUGCUGAUCAACCAGUGGAGCCAAACCAGACAUACCUACUGGGCUUCAUAUGGUGCCGUAAGAGGAAAGACAAUGUUUGGAGGCUGUUUGCAAGGAGAGAAGUACAAGGAUCUGAGGAAGUUUGUUUCAAUACACUGAGGGGAUUGUUACAAAUGAAGAUAUAUGGAACAGACCACAGAAUCUCACUCACUUUUCCUACCUCUGUCAGGGAGACAGUCACAGCCCCAAGCCUGACAGUGUUCAAGAAGAGGCUGGGCAACGCCUUCAGACACAUGGUGUGAACUGUGGGGUUGUCCAGUGCAGGGACAGGAGUUGGACUCAGUGAUCCUUGUGGGUCACUUCCAACUCAGGACAUACAAUGAUUCUAUGAUUCUAUACCCUGCAUCUGAAGACAUAUCCUCUACAAUGGCACUCAGUGCAAGGGGAGGGCUCAGAAGGUUGGCGAGGAGUCAAGGACAUGGCUCGGCAUGCGCUAUCUCAUCUCAGUUCAUGACGUGAACAUCCUGCCACUGCUGAUGAUCAUCAGGUCACAGUGACCCUAGCCUCUAUCUAUUACAAUGGUGUAUUGUUUGUUGUGUAGCCACGUGGGCAUGAUAUAUGUCAUCUGCUGUUAAAAGGAAAAAAUAUGUAAGUUGAGGCAUGAGUUGAGCCCUGACUGGACACCCGAUGCAAUUAUCCACUUUUCCCCUGCAAUCCUCUGCAUGAUUACUGGGACUCCUCACACCAGCUGGAGUGUGAGUCAAUAAACUAACAGAUAUCUAGCCCCUGUUGGGAUUCCACAUUUCACCUGACAGUAUUGAACUGCACAGCAGUUUCUGAGAACCUCUUCACCUACAGCCAGCAUUCUCAGAAUACAGUCUUGACAAUUUUUUCCCAUUUCUCUUAUCACUUGUGAAAACACAGCAGUCUCUGUGAUGGAGAGGGAGUGCUGGGAGCUAGGCCUCUCCCCAAAGGGACCUGCUGGGCCGGGAAACCAUAAGGGACAACUAGACGAGCUUCAGUAAAAUAAGCAGUAUGAUCUUAUUAUAGUGCUAUUUUCAGAAUAUGUUUUUAAACAUUUUAACUAUGUCACUGAAAAGUUAAAGUGGUAAGGAAAAUCUUUCUGCAGCAAUACCCAGAGAGGUUAGAAUGACUUACAUACAAUUAGUACUUUAUUUGAUGCAUGGAAUAGCUCUAUGAAGUCUGUGAUGUACUUUAAUGCCUUUGUUGUUCAGAAUUAUUUGACAAAGCAUUAUAUCAAUGUUUAUAAUUUAAAUCAAGCUUUCUGUGAGAUUUUUAUUUUAGUACUUGUUUCUGAAAUUCUGUUGGACGUGUGUGAAAGGUCAAUUAUGCUGCAUUGCAUUAUUCUCUGAUAGAACAGCUGGUCAAGGCAAGAUACUCCCUCAUGCCUUUAAAAUUUUUUGUGUGUGUGUUUUUGGUUUUUUUUGUGUUGUUUUGUUUUUGUUUGUUUGUUUGUUUUUCUAUAAACCUUUUCUUCUUCAGGCAAUUUAAACAUUAUUGCAUAAGUAUCUGUACAGUUUACACUGUACAGAAAUUGAAUUGGAAUAAAAUACAAAGCAUUUCAAAACAGCAGCAGGUUUAACCCAGGUCCAGCAAUAUCCUGAACUUCACUCUGUAUAAUACGAAAUACAAUAUGGGCUGUAGAGGAGAAGAAAGGUAUGAGACAGAUCAUCAUUAGCUCCCAUAAACAGCUCACCAGCUAACUCUUGUGCUUUGCGCCUGCAACUCAGCCAGAGGGACAACAUUAGUACAGUGGAGUUAUUUCCAAACUAGGAAACAACUUUUCAGAAAAAUCUAUAUUUUCCCCAUAUAUACUUUUGGGUUUUUUUUUUACAGAAAGUUCCCUUUCUUUUGAGAAACUGGAAGCAUGACAUGAAUCUGCAUUUUUGACAAAGAUGAUGUCUUGUCAAGAAAGGAAAACAGCAGCAUAUACAUAUAUAUAUAUUGCAGGGUAAGCCACAAAUGGACACUUUAGGGCCUUUCUUAUGUAGACUACAGGAAAGAAGAGGUGCUAGCUGGGCUUUGGAAACUGCAAAGUAAUUACAAACACUCUCUUCAUUUCAAACUGGUGUUGAGACCUAAUGACAUAAUUGUCUAAGGCCAAAUUCACAGUUGAACGAGGUCUGCUGAUGCAGCUCUGCUACCAGUUCCUGCUGGUGAUGAUGUCCUUAAGGCCUGAAAAGAUUGAUUUUGCCACCAUAGGCAGGUCUGACUCUCCAGGCGCAAUCUAUCAACAAAAUUAAAUCUUUAAGGAAAAACACUCUUAUGCUUUUUGCACUAGAGUACUACUGCGAAAAUAUUAUUGAGAUGAAAAUUUUCUCUCUAAACUACAGUGUUGUAACAGUGAAAGAUUUUUAUGUUAGACUAUGGCUUUUGAGAAAUCAGCAGUGAAAUUUUAUAAAAUUGAAUGGUGAGGCCUUUUUAAAGUGUACAUUUCAGUAUAGAAAGGAGGCUUCCUAAGAGUUUGCCUUGUGUUGAACAACAUACUUGCCAACUGAAUAACAUGGUGCUGAGCCCGGGACAGUAAACCCUGCUGAGAGGUAAGAUGUAUUGGAUCAGGUUUGGAUUUCCUCCAGUCUGAUUGUGCUCCUCUUACUUCAUUUGUAUCAUGCACAGAGCAAGCUCACAUUUGCCUAGAGAGUGGUAUGUGGACAUACAGUAAGAUGCAGCUGCAAGAAUACAAUAUUAAGAAAAAACCAACAACUAAUAGUGGAAAUGUUCCCAGAGAAAUACUGGGGUAGAGGCAUGUCAGAAAACAAUAGCAGAUGGGAUGAUAAUGUGACCACUUUAGUGUUUAGUGGUCUACAAUGAAAUAAUUUGACUUUAAAAAAAUCAAAUGUCAAUGAAUAUUUUUCCAACUCACCACGUUCACUGACCUUUGCAUUGACUGUUCUCUGUGAGCCUUUAAGAUGGAGCACACACAGCAUGUGGAGUCCCAUAUCAUGUCGGUCAUCAUUCUCUGCCUGACAUUUUGUGUGUUCCUAAAUUGAUAUGUUCCAGAUUAAUGAGGCAUUUGUUCUCAAUCAAGAAGCUAUUUAAGAAUACAUUUUUAAUUGUAAUGGGUUGUAUAUGAUUAAUUAUUUCUACAUGGCUUGCUCUUAUUUUUGAAUAGUUCAAAGCAGAUUUUUUUUUUCCACUGGGUACUGCCCAAAUCUUUUCAAUGUUCAUACUAGUUAUCACCCAAUAAUUUAUGGAAGUGAAUUGUCUUAAUGUGGGCUUGUGAACUUCUUUGAGAAAUUUGCCUGGAGCUCAUUUUUGUAAUGACCUUCAAUGUUCUUGUCUGUAAAAGGAAUAAGAGGGAUGACACAACAAGCUGGUUUCAAAAACUCUGUGUUUAGGUUAUUAUUAUUAUUAUUAUUUUUUUAAGACUCCAUUGUUUAAGAACUAUUCAUCUCACAGUUGGUUCUGAUGAGAACGUGUAGCCAUUUUAGUAUUGUUCUGUGCUCAUCCCUCUGGUUUAGUUGAGGUCUACUCUUUUAAGUGAGCUAUGGCUUUAAAAAAAAAUGUCUUUCAAUGACCAGUACAUUCCAGAGUGGACCAAGUUGUUCCCUACAUAUGUGCUCCCUUCAUGAGGGAAAAAGGACAUGUGUUUUCCUUUGCAAAGCUUGCUUCAGACUUUUUUUCACGCCCUGAAGAAUUUCCAUUUGUUGCUGUUCUUGAAAGGACAAAAGCCUCAGUGCUUCAGGGCUCUGCAUCUUGAGGGAUGGUAUUAUAAUUCUGAUUUUAUGACCUCUCUUUUCUCUUUGUUGUAUGGGACAUACCCUGUUUCCCUGAAAAUAAGACCUACUCCAAAAAUAAUCCCUAGUUAGAGUGCAUCAACAAAGUCAAUUUGAAUAGUGCCCAGCUAUACAUGUAAAAAAGUAAUAAGUUUUGGAGCAAAAAUUAAUAUAAGACCCUGUCUUAUUUUUGUGGAAACAGGGUAGUUUUGGCAAGAGUAACCAUGGGCCUAAUAGCGAUCAGCACACUAGAUUCUGAACUCAGAAGAGAAUUUGCACUUAAAAGGGAAGAAGAGAUUUUCUCUCCUUCAAAUUAGUAAAUAAUUAAAUUAACAUUAACUUAAUCCUACCCUUCCCGUAAGAUCUGUUGCCACAAAUGGCUACAGUGAUUCCAAGUGAAUCGCCUGUAGAAGGAUUUGGGUGCAGAGGAGGCUUUUUACCCUUUCACAUCACCUUUGUCUGCUGCUGUCAGGUAGAUAAUCUGAUCAUCCACUCACAAGAUACACUAUCCUUUUAUUGAGUGGGUCCAGUCUAGUAAAGUACUAGCCAUGAAAAUGCUACAAUAUGAGAAUAAUAAGAACCCAAAGUGCUUGUUAGAGCUGUCUGUAGACAGAAGAUUUUUUACAAGUUUCAUGUGAAAUGUCGGCAGCUGGCAUCAAGCUAUUUUUCUUGGCUGUUUAUGUUUUAGAUAAGCAAGGGCAACAUCAUGAGGAAAAAUCCAUUUGUUCAAAGGGACCCAUUAAGACUAAACUUAGGGGCUAUAGCAUCAGAUUAUGUGCUGUCUGUGGGUGGCUUUUUGAAGCAUAUGGUGACUGAAUUUAUGUUCUCUCCUUCUCUUCUCAUACAGAAUAUGUCAUGAGGAACAGCUCCUCCAAAAGAGCUUUCUCUGUGGGGAAAGACAUUCAAAUUACUUUGAUUUUCCUAGUAUCUAUCAUGGCAGUACGUUCCUGCAGGGCAAGGGACAGAGGUUUGUCAGUUAAGUUUACAGUAAAAGGGCACAAGUGGUGCAGAAUGACUUAGCAGAGAAUUAAAAGAAGGAAUUGCGAAUGAAACAAACUGUAGAGUAAUGAAAAAGUGCAGAGACGCUAAAAACAUCCAGUAACCGUCCCUCACCCCUCCAUUCCCCCCAGCCUCCCAGUAUGGCAUGUCAUUCAGGGCUCUUCUCACAAGUGCCAGUGACACGUUUUGGUGAAAUUUCAAAGGUUAGAUCCCUUCCCCAUUCCUCAGGGGGAGGUCAUCGCCCUUGAUCUGCAUCAGGCAACAGAUCUGAAUGUGUGAUUACAUACAAGCUACCACAUCUCAUGGCUGAUUUGUUUUAAUUUAAACUGCUGCAUAAUUUAUUAAUACAGUGGGCUGUAGACAGCAGGAGGGCAGAAACACUUAACUAUUUUGCCAGGCAGGAGGGAAGCAUAAUCCUCCGCUCUUCCCAGAGCAACUUGAUGGUGCUCGUGGGUCAGAGCUCUUAUUCUAGAAAGUACUUCUCUUAUCCUGGUGGUCAGAGGCUGAAUUUUGCACUCAGAAUUGCUUUUGUAUAGAUGCAUGUGUGUGAAGGGGAUGAGAUGAUAGCAGAGAUGAGUAAAGAAACUCUCUGAAAUACUGUUUUUGAACUCUGUGGCUACAAUUGCACUAUAAAAAAAAAAAGAACAACCCAACCAACAACACAGCUUCAAGAGAGUACAGUAUCACAGAAUCACAGAAUGUUAGGGACUGGAAGGGACGUCGAAAGAUCAUCUAGUCCAAUCCCCCUGCUGGAGCAGGAACACCUAGAUGAGGUUACACAGGAACGUGUCCAGGAGGGUUUUGAAUGUCUCCAGAGUAGGAGACUCCACAACCUCCCUGGGCAGCCUGUUCCAGUGCUCUGUCACCCUCACUGAGAAGAAGUUUCUUCUCGUAUUUAAAUGGAAACUCCUGUGUUCCAGUUUGUACCCAUUGCCCCUUGUCUUAUCAUUGAUUGUCACAGAGAAGAGCCUGGCUUCAUCCUCGUGACACUUACCCUUUAUAUUUAGAAACAUGAAUGAGGUCACCCCUCAUUCUCCUCUUCUCCAGCUCCCUCAGCCUUUCCUCAUAAGGGAGAUGCUCCACUCCCUCGGUCAUCUUCAUGGCUCUCCACUGGACUCUCUCCAGCAGUUCCCUGUCCUUCUUGAACUGAGGGGCCCAGAACCGGACACAAUAUUCCAGAUGUGGUCUCACCAGGGAAGAGUAGAGGGGGAGGAGAACCUCUCUCGACCUACUAACCACCCUCCUUCUAAUACACCCCAGAAUGCCAUUGGCCUUCCUGGCCACAAGGGCACAGUGCUGGCUCAUGGUCAUCCCGCUGUCCACCAGGACCCCCAGGUCCCUUUCCCCUACACUGCUCUCUAACAGGUCAUUCCCAACUUAUACUGGAACCUGGGGUUGUUCCUGCCCAGAUGCAAGACUCUACACUUUCCCUUGUUAUAUUUCAUUAAAUUUUUCCCCACCCAACUCUCCAGCCUGUCCAGGUCUUACUGAUUGACAGCACAGUGGCGUGUCAGCCACUCCUCCCAAAGUAUGCAUUAACUAUUUUGUCUGUGAAGUUGAUUUUACUACAAAAAAAAAAAAUGACUUAAUUUUUUACCCCAUAGCCUAAGACACAGCAAAAAAACUCUUUGAGUUAGCAUACAGGCAGAGCUGAGACAUGGAACAGCUCUACUUGAAGGCAAAAUGGCAUAUGUGGAGACUGGUAGAGAAGCAAAAGUGAACUAGGAUUGUUCGUGUCUCACUGAAGCUGAAAAAGUAUGCUUCAUUUAAAAUGAUAAUUUAUGGAGGUCUGAUUGCCAGGUAUUCAGUUUGGUCCUGGAAUCACUUGAACUCAGACUAUAUAUGUGAAAUAGUCAUGCUUUGCACAACUAUCAUCAGUGUCAGCUGUAUUGAACUGUCUGCCUUUUUUUUUUUUUUUUUUUGUAUUAAGCAUAAUUAUAAUUAGUUGACUAAAAUGACAAUUAUGUUCAAAAGGGACCUUUUCCAAUAAAAAAUUACACUCUGCUA
This is a long non-coding RNA of Columba livia (rock pigeon), 14542 nucleotides long. RefSeq lists it as uncharacterized. NCBI's taxonomy places the organism in Eukaryota, Metazoa, Chordata, Aves, Columbiformes, Columbidae. The transcript has 2 exons. The record is from RefSeq and is a predicted model, not a curated record.